RNAcentral lists this small nucleolar RNA (83 nucleotides) under Nannospalax galili (Upper Galilee mountains blind mole rat). Its description in RNAcentral is "Small nucleolar RNA SNORA40 (ENSNGAG00000007166.1)". It matches the Rfam family "Small nucleolar RNA SNORA40", at positions 46 to 128 of the family's 128-position model. Rfam says of the family: The snoRNA ACA 40 belongs to the H/ACA family of snoRNAs and guides the pseudouridylation of 28S rRNA subunit at position U4565. NB This family has a high threshold value to exclude a large number of closely related sequences that do not appear to have conserved H and ACA boxes, and may be pseudogenes. Lineage: Eukaryota; Metazoa; Chordata; Mammalia; Rodentia; Spalacidae. The record is from RNAcentral.
GCUGGUGGACAAAAAUAAAUUGUCCUUUGAAACCCAGAACUCACUGUUCAGUAUGAGUUUUGAUACAUAUAAGAAGAAAUAUG